Ostrea edulis (European flat oyster) is the source of this 773-nucleotide long non-coding RNA. RefSeq lists it as uncharacterized. The transcript has 4 exons. NCBI's taxonomy places the organism in Eukaryota, Metazoa, Mollusca, Bivalvia, Ostreida, Ostreidae. The record is from RefSeq and is a predicted model, not a curated record.
AUUUGGUACCGCUUGCAGGGCGGCGACCACGAGUUACCUGCCCCUAUACAAUGAGUUAAUUGCCCCUGUAUUUCAUCUGUUAAGUUGUACUUAAAAUAGGCUAACUCUUGCGCAAAAAAAGAUAGAAAAUAUCAAAUAUGGGAAAGCGGGACGAUAGACCAAACAUAUCUACGAAGAGACCGUUGGUGCCGGAAAUAUCUCUGUCUUUAGUAGUGUCCGCGAGGUAUAUUAAUUUAUAAAACAUGAGGUAUUAGUACCAUAUUGCCCGGGAAUCAAAAGAUUUUUGCAAGAUCGCAGAAUUCAGCUAGACACAAAAAAAAAAGACAAUCACUACAGCCUUCCAAGAAGAUGGACUGCCUCACAAUAGUUUCCUUGAGGACUGUCUUGAAAUAUCCAGAGUUUAAGAUUCAAGAAACGGACUCUAUCUGGAAAAGGAAAACAAUAUCAAAGCUCCUCUGUGAGAAGUUGGCCAAGGAAAGCAUUCAGAAGAAAGUGGAGAUUCAUUGUUUUUACCAGACCCAGCAGAUCACAGAAAGCAUCUAGUAGGGGAGUUUCCAGGAUUAAGCCAGCCAGUAGAUGAGACUAUUAUAUCAAAAAUACAUUUACUUGUACACGAGGGCACACAAAGCGUUGAUGAAACAAAAAGACAUUUCCGUCUGUUUGUAAAGGAUACUAUUUCACCAGGGAACACCAUCUCAGAAUUUAACAGAUGCUUUUACCCCGCCAAUAAGGAUGUAAGAAAUCACAUUUACAGGGCACCGAGAUUUUGCCAG